Molecule: long non-coding RNA, 747 nt
Filed under: Prunus dulcis (almond)
Lineage: Eukaryota; Viridiplantae; Streptophyta; Magnoliopsida; Rosales; Rosaceae
Description: sRNA ncRNA
Source: RNAcentral
UAUCCAACAAAAUCGAUCUAUUUAAACCAUGAUCAUGAGCAAGUGCAUAAAUAUACUCCCGAAAGAUAAGUGGGUAUAGGAAGUCAUGUUGCUGAUAUCUAUCUAGUUCUAAAUAUCCUUGAAAUUCUUCCAUUUUUAAUUCUAUUUGAACCAGAAAAGAAAUAGGUGAUUUAUUGGGUUAUCAAAUGAUACACAGUACGAUACAGUCAAAACAAGGUAUUAUAGUAAGAAAAGAAUGGAUACCUCGGAAACAAGUAAAGACUCAUCAACAGACUCUCUAGCCUCUCUUUUUACAUCUAAUUGAUUUAUGUUAAUUCUAGGGUAAGAAGAUGGUUAGAAGUCCUUUAUUUUUUCAAUCCAAUCGCUCUUUUGAUUUUGAAAAAAAAAAAUCUUUAUCAAUAUACUGCCUUCUUCUACACAUUUAUCUCUACCCUAUAAUGGGUAAUAGAUAAUAAUUAGGACUCAUAAGAAAUUUAUAAUCCACUCAUGGGAAAAGUCUUUCCCGCAUUAAGUACUAAUAUAUUUUUAACGUCUAAUUAGAUCGGGUAAUCAUUCAAAAAUUAAGAACAGAAGCUCGUUACUUUUUAUUUCCCUAUAAUUGGAACCGUAAUUAGGGCUCUACCCAUUUAUUCACUCGACCAAUUUUGGCAAGAAGAAGGAGUUGACCCGUAUCAUCUUGACUUGGUUCUAAUUUCUCUAUUUUUUUUUAAGAAUACCGAGUCGGGCUCUUCUCCUACCCGUAUAGAA